This 426-nucleotide ribosomal RNA is filed under the name uncultured Pseudomonadaceae bacterium. RNAcentral describes it as "bacterial SSU rRNA". It matches the Rfam family "Bacterial small subunit ribosomal RNA", at positions 356 to 774 of the family's 1533-position model. The record is from RNAcentral. Lineage: Bacteria; Pseudomonadati; Pseudomonadota; Gammaproteobacteria; Pseudomonadales; Pseudomonadaceae.
GGGGAAUAUUGGACAAUGGGCGAAAGCCUGAUCCAGCCAUGCCGCGUGUGUGAAGAAGGUCUUCGGAUUGUAAAGCACUUUAAGUUGGGAGGAAGGGCAGUAAGUUAAUACCUUGCUGUUUUGACGUUACCAACAGAAUAAGCACCGGCUAACUUCGUGCCAGCAGCCGCGGUAAUACGGAGGGUGCGAGCGUUAAUCGGAAUUACUGGGCGUAAAGCGUGCGCAGGCGGUUUGUUAAGCGAGAUGUGAAAGCCCCGGGCUCAACCUGGGAUGGUCAUUUCGAACUGGCAAGCUAGAGUCUCGUAGAGGGGGGUAGAAUUCCAGGUGUAGCGGUGAAAUGCGUAGAUAUAGGAAGGAACACCAGUGGCGAAGGCGACCACCUGGACUGAUACUGACACUGAGGUGCGAAAGCGUGGGGAGCAAACA